Molecule: long non-coding RNA, 482 nt
Filed under: Mustela putorius furo (domestic ferret)
Lineage: Eukaryota; Metazoa; Chordata; Mammalia; Carnivora; Mustelidae
Description: lncRNA (ENSMPUG00000031703.1)
Source: RNAcentral
AUGAUGGCGGCCUCGCCAUUGGCCAGCUUUUCCUGGCUUCCUCGUUCAUCAACAGGCAUGAAAGUGGAGAGUUUGGGCUGGCUCUUCUUCCUCUCUGGAGAAGUGCGGACCGGCAUCCAGCAGGAGUCUGAGUGGCCAUAUUCAUCACACUCACGGGUACACUUUCCAGUCAGGGCUACAUCUGGAAGAGGUCUUGAGUCAUUUUCCAUAUGCUCUGCCUCACCAACACUGCCAUCCGGCGUGGUCCUUUCAUAGUUGUCCUCUGGGAGUGGAAGGGCACCCAGCCUUGGCCCUGAUGAACUCUUACUGCUUGGUGUCUCUGACUCCUCCAGCCCGCUGUCAUAGCAACUCUGCAGUGACCCCUGAUGUGGGUCCUGAGGCUGACUCACAACAGAAAACGUCACUCUACGAAAUGGCUGCAAAAGAAAAGAUUCUGAAUGUCACUAAAAUAUAAGAUUGUAAAUGAUUUUAUCAAAAAACAC